Long non-coding RNA from Anastrepha ludens (Mexican fruit fly), 1302 nucleotides. RefSeq lists it as uncharacterized. NCBI's taxonomy places the organism in Eukaryota, Metazoa, Arthropoda, Insecta, Diptera, Tephritidae. The record is from RefSeq and is a predicted model, not a curated record. The transcript is spliced from 2 exons.
CAAGACUUGUCUUGCGUUGGUUUCGUUAAUCUAUUUGAUUUCUAACAGGGUAUGUGAUUACCCUGCAUUUAUUAUAUUUAUAUAUACAAUAUAUAUUUAUUUAUAAUAUAUAUUUUUUGUUUGUUUUUGUAUUGAUUUCGAUCCCACCAAAAACAUUUCUGCAUAUCUGUCCGCCAACAAUUUACUUAUUAAAUUUUUGUCUACAUAAUUUUUCACUUGCAAUUUACUAAUAAUUUUCCCCACUGCUCUUAACAGGAGGAUAGCUUAUCAGUUUGGAAUCGCACCGCCACUGACCACCCGAGUACGACACGUAUCCGCGAUACGCUACGUAGGAUAUUAAACAUACCUCUCACAACAGCAAUGGAGUAUAAGAUACACUGUGAUAGCCUUAAAUAUGUAGCAAUUAAUAAAGGCCCUCUGAAAAGCUGAAAUUCAGUAAAUACGUUCAACGCAACAAAAAUAAAAACAAUUGCAGAUGAUACAACACCCUUUGUGGAAAACAAUACUAGCAACAACAACAGCAACAUCAAUGGCAACGGCAGCGGUAGUAGCACCAACCAAAUCAAUACAAACAGCAAUAAUUACAACAACCAUGGAGACAACUACAACUGCAACAAUUAUUCAGACAACAAUACAACUGACAUUGCUAAAACCUAGAACACAAAAUAAAAACAAAAAUACAACAAAACCCAUCCUCUAACCACCAUACCAAUAAAAACAACAAAGAGGCAUAGCAACGCAACUUAUGUACACUCUGGGACCACAUCGCCUACCAUAGUACGGAAAAAGCUAAACUGGAUAUAAAUAAUUGCAAAACUUUAAUUUUCAUGCUGAAUGCAAAUACAUGCGUACACACAUACAUAGACACAUAUGUAUGAUGCAUUAAGAGAAGCAACAUUUUGCGAUUGUUUGCAUGAAGGUUUGCGAUUUAAUAAAUAGCGAAACUUGGACCCCCAACUCAAAUGAAAACAAUUACAACAAGAACACUGCUGCAACCUCAACUUAAAUAUCAACCUCAAACCGACUAAAAUUAAAUUAAAAACUGAAUAUUCAACAUUUGCCAUUUUUUGUGUGCUGCAUACACGAAAAUUCUCUAAAAAUGUUGUUGCCACAUAAUAUUGCAUUAAUAUAUCACGAUUAUCACGUGAAUACUGUCAUCUGCGCGACACCAACAAUCGCCUAAAUUGUUUUUGUUUCAUACCGAUUUGCAAAUAAUUCUCGAUGAAUUUCUGUUUAACAUAAAAAUCCAAAAAGUUGGUACCCACCCCUUAAAGAAUACAGAGUGAAGAAAAGUAAAAAUUU